RNAcentral lists this ribosomal RNA (1992 nucleotides) under human gut metagenome. RNAcentral describes it as "bacterial LSU rRNA". It matches the Rfam family "Bacterial large subunit ribosomal RNA", at positions 1 to 2027 of the family's 2925-position model. The record is from RNAcentral.
UUAUGCUAAUAAGAGCGUAUGGUGGAUGCCUUGGCACUAAGAGCCGAUGAAAGACGUGAUAAGCUGCGAAAAGCUUCGGGGAGGAGCAAAUAUCCUAUGAUCCGGAGAUCUCUGAAUGGGGAAACCCACCUGAGCAAACCUCAGGUAUCCUAACGCCAAUACAUAACGUUAGGAGGGGAACCCGGUGAACUGAAACAUCUAAGUAGCCGGAGGAAGAGAAAACAACAUGUGAUUCUGGAAGUAGCGGCGAGCGAAACCGGAAGAGCCCAAACCGGAGUGCGUGCACUCCGGGGUUCGGACCGCGGAAUUGAUCCAAAAGACUUAACAGAACGGCCUGGGAAGGCCGGCCAGAGAGGGUGAAAGCCCCGUAAGUGAAAGGUCGAUUGGCAUGGCGGUAUCCAGAGUAGGUCGAGACACGUGGAACCUUGACUGAAUACGCGGGGACCACCCCGUAAGGCUAAAUACUCCUUAGUGACCGAUAGCGCAUAGUACUGUGAAGGAAAGGUGAAAAGGACCCCGGGAGGGGAGUGAAAAAGAACCUGAAACCAUAUGUUUACAAGCUGUGGAACCACUUUAAAUGUGGAACCGCGUACUUUUUGUAGAACGGUCCGGCGAGUUACGCUGGCUGGCGAGGUUAAGUCCUUAAGGGAUGGAGCCGAAGGGAAACCAAGUCUGAAUAGGGCGAAGAGUCAGUCGGAGUAGACCCGAAACCGGGUGACCUAUCCAUGUCCAGGAUGAAGUUGCCGUAAAAGGCAAUGGAGGUCCGAACCCACAUCCGUUGAAAAGGGUGGGGAUGAGGUGUGGAUAGGGGAGAAAUUCCAAUCGAACCCGGAGAUAGCUGGUUCUCCUCGAAAUAGCUUUAGGGCUAGCCUCAUACAAGUCUUGCGGAGGUAGAGCACUGAAUUUCCUAGGGGGCGUCAAAGCUUACCGAAGAAUAUCAAACUCCGAAUGCCGCGUAGAUGGUGUAUGGGAGUCAGACUGCACGAGAUAAGUUGGGUAGUCAAAAGGGAAAGAGCCCAGACCUGCAGCUAAGGUCCCAAAAUGUGUGUUAAGUGGAAAAGGAUGUGGGAUUUCGAAGACAACUAGGAUGUUGGCUCAGAAGCAGCCAUACAUUCAAAGAGUGCGUAAUAGCUCACUAGUCGAGAGGUCCUGCGCCGAAAAUGUCCGGGGCUGAAACACACUACCGAAGCUCAGGAAUGUACUUGUACAUUGGUAGAGGAGCAUUGUAUACGGGAAGAAGCAGUACCGAUAAGGAGCUGUGGACUGUAUAGAAGAGAGAAUGCCGGAAUGAGUAGCGAGAGGAAGGUGAGAAUCCUUCCGGCCGAAUAUCUAAGGUUUCCAGAGUAAAGCUGAUCUGCUCUGGGUAAGUCGGGGCCUAAGGCCAGGUCGAAAGACGUAACCGAUGGACAACAGGUUGAAAUUCCUGUACCGCGAUAUAACAGAACUGUGGGGACACGUGUGGAGAGCACAAGCCGGGAAUGGAAAGCCCGGCGCAAGCAAGGUAGGAGUCGUACCGGCAAAUCCGUACGGCAAUCCGAAGAUGUGAUGCGUACCGAAUUAAGAGUAGGGAAGAGUGUGAGCCAUGCGUCAAGAAAAGCCGCUAUUGUUUGUAUCGCGCCCGUACCGUAAACCGACACAGGUGGAUGAGGAGAGAAUCCUAAGGCCGACGGGAGAAGCAUUGUUAAGGAACUCGGCAAAAUGACUCCGUAACUUCGGGAGAAGGAGUGCCACUGAGAGGUGGCCGCAGAGAAUUGGCCCAAGCAACUGUUUAGCAAAAACACAGGUCUAUGCAAAACCGAAAGGUGAAGUAUAUGGGCUGACGCCUGCCCGGUGCUGGAAGGUUAAGGGGAGAGGUUAGCGCAAGCGAAGCUUUGAACUUAAGCCCCAGUAAACGGCGGCCGUAACUAUAACGGUCCUAAGGUAGCGAAAUUCCUUGUCGGGUAAGUUCCGACCCGCACGAAAGGCGUAAUGAUUUGGGCACUGUCUCAACAA